UGUUUCGGCUAGGGGGUCAUCCCGACUUACCAACCCGAUGCAAACUACGAAUACCGAAGAAUGUUAUCACGGGAGACACACGGCGGGUGCUAACGUCCGUCGUGAAGAGGGAAACAACCCAGACCGCCAGCUAAGGUCCCAAAGUCAUGGUUAAGUGGGAAACGAUGUGGGAAGGCCCAGACAGCCAGGAUGUUGGCUUAGAAGCAGCCAUCAUUUAAAGAAAGCGUAAUAGCUCACUGGUCGAGUCGGCCUGCGCGGAAGAUGUAACGGGGCUAAACCAUGCACCGAAGCUGCGGCAGCGACACUAUGUGUUGUUGGGUAGGGGAGCGUUCUGUAAGCCGUUGAAGGUGGCCUGUGAGGGUUGCUGGAGGUAUCAGAAGUGCGAAUGCUGACAUAAGUAACGAUAAUGCGGGUGAAAAACCCGCACGCCGGAAGACCAAGGGUUCCUGUCCAACGUUAAUCGGGGCAGGGUGAGUCGACCCCUAAGGCGAGGCCGAAAGGCGUAGUCGAUGGGAAACAGGUUAAUAUUCCUGUACUUGGUGUUACUGCGAAGGGGGGACGGAGAAGGCUAUGUUGGCCGGGCGACGGUUGUCCCGGUUUAAGCAUGUAGGCGGAUGUUCCAGGUAAAUCCGGAACGUUAUUAACGCUGAGGUGUGAUGACGAGGCACUACGGUGCUGAAGUGACAAAUGCCCUGCUUCCAGGAAAAGCCUCUAAGCAUCAGGUAACAUCAAAUCGUACCCCAAACCGACACAGGUGGUCAGGUAGAGAAUACCAAGGCGCUUGAGAGAACUCGGGUGAAGGAACUAGGCAAAAUGGUGCCGUAACUUCGGGAGAAGGCACGCUGAUGGUAGGUGAAGUGACUUGCUCA
Molecule: ribosomal RNA, 869 nt
Filed under: Klebsiella oxytoca
Lineage: Bacteria; Pseudomonadati; Pseudomonadota; Gammaproteobacteria; Enterobacterales; Enterobacteriaceae
Description: partial 23S ribosomal RNA
Rfam family: Bacterial large subunit ribosomal RNA
Source: RNAcentral